RNAcentral lists this ribosomal RNA (468 nucleotides) under uncultured bacterium. RNAcentral's name for it is "partial 16S ribosomal RNA". It matches the Rfam family "Bacterial small subunit ribosomal RNA", at positions 28 to 507 of the family's 1533-position model. The record is from RNAcentral.
GAUGAACGCUGGCGGCGUGCUUAACACAUGCAAGUCGAACGGAAAGGCCCUGCUUUUGUGAGGUGCUCGAGUGGCGAACGGGUGAGUAACACGUGAGUAACCUGCCCUUGACUUUGGGAUAACUUCAGGAAACUGGGGCUAAUACCGGAUAGGAGCUCCUGCUGCAUGGUGGGGGUUGGAAAGUUUCGGCGGUUGGGGAUGGACUCGCGGCUUAUCAGCUUGUUGGUGGGGUAGUGGCUUACCAAGGCUUUGACGGGUAGCCGGCCUGAGAGGGUGACCGGCCACAUUGGGACUGAGAUACGGCCCAGACUCCUACGGGAGGCAGCAGUGGGGAAUAUUGCACAAUGGGCGGAAGCCUGAUGCAGCAACGCCGCGUGCGGGAUGACGGCCUUCGGGUUGUAAACCGCUUUCGCCUGUGACGAAGCGUGAGUGACGGUAAUGGGUAAAGAAGCACCGGCUAACUACGUG